This 555-nucleotide long non-coding RNA is filed under the name Pan troglodytes (chimpanzee). Its description in RNAcentral is "lncRNA (ENSPTRG00000053804.1)". Lineage: Eukaryota; Metazoa; Chordata; Mammalia; Primates; Hominidae. The record is from RNAcentral.
GGACCCAGGGUGGGGUGGGGCAGGGCGGGCGGAAGGGGGCCGGAUCCGGGGGUGGGGUGAGGUAGGACCGGCGGAGAGGUCGGCACCGCCCCAGGACCCUGUCCGCAGGAGCAGCACAGCAGGCAGCUGCAGGAGCAGUGGGAGGAGCUGUCGAGUCAGCUCUUCUACUACGGAGGAGAACCGCAGAGCCAGAAGAGCACGGAGCAGCAACUCGCAGCCCAGUUGGUGACGCUGCAGAAUGAACUGGAGCUGGCGGAGACCAAAUGCGCCUUGCAGGAGGAGAAGCUGCAGCAGGGCGCGCUGCAGACAGCGGAGGCCUGGGCCAUAUUCCAGGAGCAGACCGUAGUCCUGCAGGUGCGGCCCCACUCAGACGCCAAGGUGCCUCCCGCCUCUCCUCCCCCAGACCUGGGGCGGUAAGUCUCCCAACCCACCGCCAGGACGCCUCCCCGAGGCCUCAGUCCGCACUCUCACCCGCUCCAGGAGGUGCAGGUGAAGGUGAUGGAGGCUGCGGAGGAGCUGGACGCCUGGCAGAGUGGCCGGGAACUGUAAGGGAGU